UACUGACAAUGGAUGAGUGAA
RNAcentral lists this non-coding RNA (21 nucleotides) under Arabidopsis thaliana (thale cress). The record is from RNAcentral. Lineage: Eukaryota; Viridiplantae; Streptophyta; Magnoliopsida; Brassicales; Brassicaceae.